This is a long non-coding RNA of Anopheles stephensi (Asian malaria mosquito), 1534 nucleotides long. RefSeq lists it as uncharacterized. The record is from RefSeq and is a predicted model, not a curated record. The transcript has 3 exons. NCBI's taxonomy places the organism in Eukaryota, Metazoa, Arthropoda, Insecta, Diptera, Culicidae.
CUGAUUUGCAUGCGUUGGUGGUUGGUUGUGCUGGAAGUGUUUGUCUGCUCAGUGUGAUGCAAUCUCAUGCAAGCUGAAGCGAAAACAAGUUACGUGUGCUUUACAUAUUAGAUGAAAAACUGUUUGACCAUCCACUUCAAUUAAUAUUUACCACCGUUUGUUGGAUCAGAAUAUUCAGAAUAUUCAAGAUCCGUUCUAAUUUAUUACUCUAGCGGUGACUCUGUGAGUUCUAAAAAAGGGGAAAAAAUACGAAAACACCCAAACAGAAACACGGUUCUAUGGUUGCGACUGCAACGGAAACAACACCUGACCGUCAUCACCACCUGACGGCAAUGUUAAUAGGGGUGAACGAUGGAGAGGUUGAAAAAUUAGCCACUAGACGGUUGAGCAGACCCCUUGUCAAAAUUUUGCCGUCCGUUUUGAGAUAGGAGUUUAUAAAUUUAUUUUAAAAAAUUAUUUAGUGGUUUAGGGAAUAUCAAAAUAAUUUAGAAGUAAGUAGUUAAUGGUGGAAAAAAAUCAAAUAUUUUAAAAUAAAUUUAACUAAUUCCUAAGGACAAGAAGGUGUAUUAGAACAACCGUUUAAACGCGUAGAACACAGCAAAGGUUACAUCAAUUACAUCUCACAUGACGGACGUGCGUGUUUUUCCCUCGCUUUGAGCCUCCGACCGUGCGCGCCCAACACGUACAAAGGCCAGCUGAAAAUUACAAACAUCUCCACCGAGCCACAGUCAAUAGCCAUCUCAUAGCCACAACUACGCACAACCCCUUUCUAAACGAGUGAAAGAAAUGGAAAACAAAAUGUUCCCACACGGCUAACAACAAAAAAACCCUCACACCCCCGAGUGACCACUGGAAAACUGAGAGAAAAAGAGAGAGAGAGCACGAGAUAAGAGAUACAGUAACACAACACAACCCUUCCACCUUGCGUGUGCGUGUGGUGGUUGUAAGCGGUUGGCUUUAAGGCUGCGCCCGCGCCGGAACGCGUGCGGCUCCGUCAGUACCGGAUCAGCAUUGCGCGAACACAGUUCGCCGUAGUCUUCGCCGCGGAGUCGUUGCAGUGGAGCAAAACCGCUAAAACAAAAACAAAGCACGCACACACACAAACCCAAUCGAAAUCCCGCAGUGCGUCAGAGCAGAAGAAGUGUGAGCAAACAGGGGUGGAACAACGGGUGAUCGGGUGGCCCCCGAUCGACGACAGCGAUGCACAAAUUUGCAUCCGCACGAGCGCAUCACUAAUUAUCCGGUGCAUUAUACCGUGGCCAGUGGAAAAGGGAAAUUAGUUAACGGCUAAGCGUAAAAAAGGGCCAAGGAUCGGAAGGAAAAACGCGCGCAACAACUCGCUGGGUGGUGUACAAACAAGCAGACGGAAAAUUCACCGUGAGGCGUGUAUGUGAAAAAAUUCCGACUCAGCAUCGAACUACGUGGACCGUGUGCGCAUCCGUGACUCGUCCAACUCGUUCGGAGGGCCGGGCCGAGGAUCCGGGUGGCGUCAGAAGUCCCUGUCGAAUAUAGAUCUACCGACGAGCUACCGUGG